This 290-nucleotide long non-coding RNA is filed under the name Chinchilla lanigera (long-tailed chinchilla). RNAcentral's name for it is "lncRNA (ENSCLAG00000028281.1)". Lineage: Eukaryota; Metazoa; Chordata; Mammalia; Rodentia; Chinchillidae. The record is from RNAcentral.
GCAGGCCCCGCCCCUCGGUCUGCUCUUGCACAGCGCCAGGGGCCCGCCCUGCAGCCUCUCAAGAUUCUAGUAAGGAGGGCGUUCACAACACACAGGUGCGCGUGCAGCAGGGGAAAGCGCACAGCUGUUUUCCGGCGCAGGGAAGUGUGGGGAGCGGCGCGGGAGAAGAAAUCAGCCGACAGCGGUGGAGGGGACGCUGCGCUUGGGCUGUGACAAAAUCCUCUGAGUGCCGCGGGCAGGGGCGACCGAGAGACCGCGAUUUAAAGCGGGGAGGAGGGAGAAGAGGAUGA